CCAAUCUCAGUUCGGAUUGUGGGCUGCAACCCGCCCACAUGAAGUUGGAGUUGCUAGUAAUCGCGAAUCAGCAUGUCGCGGUGAAUACGUUCCCGGGCCUUGUACACACCGCCCGUCACACCAUGGGAGUUGAGAGCACCCGAAGUCAGUGAGGGAACCGAAAGGGCCCAGCUGCCGAAGGUGAGAUCGAUGACUGGGGUGAAGUCGUAACAAGGUAAC
This 219-nucleotide ribosomal RNA is filed under the name uncultured bacterium. RNAcentral's name for it is "partial 16S ribosomal RNA". It matches the Rfam family "Bacterial small subunit ribosomal RNA", at positions 1282 to 1500 of the family's 1533-position model. The record is from RNAcentral.